This is a long non-coding RNA of Helianthus annuus (common sunflower), 4270 nucleotides long. RefSeq lists it as uncharacterized. NCBI's taxonomy places the organism in Eukaryota, Viridiplantae, Streptophyta, Magnoliopsida, Asterales, Asteraceae. The transcript is spliced from 9 exons. The record is from RefSeq and is a predicted model, not a curated record.
AAUUCAUUCUUUCAGCCGUUUCUCUCUACCUGUCUCUCUCUCUCUCUAGACUUCCAAUUUCAGCAAUUUCACCUUCAAAUCAACCAGCAAUCUCGAUUCAAACAACAACAAAUGGAUUCGAAACAAUCAUCUUCGAAAGAUAAGGAUGCAGCGGUAGCGGUUAGUUCUCCACGUCUACGACCGGUAGUCCUGUAACAGAGGUUGAAAACGUUGGCUAAAAGCUAUGAAGGCUGUUUACAAGAAUCAUCAGAUUCUUCCGAUUUCAGGCAUGCACCAGUGUUGUUCGUUGUCAGUUUAUCUACCCAGCUCAUCAUGGUAUGGUACUGAUGAUCGGGAAUUGAAGACAAAAGUAUCGUACGUUACAAAGUUUCGUAUGCUUUUAACAGACUCAUCAUCACCAAGGCUUAAAUUAAAUUGAGUCUGGAUCAUUUUUUCAGUGUACAAUAUAGGGUAGUAGAUGAACAUAAUACAUGGAAAAUUGACAUUAUGAUAUGUUUUUGUUAUACAAUUAGCUUCCUGCGGAUGUUGGGUAGUAUAUGUAAGUCACUGCACAAUAACCAUCAUACUUGCUAAAAUUCAAAUGAACAUUCGAGCAUUAUGCUAGACUGACCAAUCUUGGGCAAUCUGCAGCAGGUGUUUAGAAAAGAAACUACAAGUAUGAUGCUUAUGAUGACUUUUGCUUUAGCGAACUUGAUCUCCUUUUAUCCGCUUUAGCAAGAGGUGAAUAAGCUGGUGAAAGAUGAUAGUGGUUGUAUGUUGUUUCAUGGAAGUGGUUGUAUGCUGUUUCAUCUGGGGAUUCAUAUGAUAUGAUGCUUUUCUGAUUUCAAUAGCUUUUGGAGGUUAAACAAUCAGUUAAUUUAAAAUAUACAAUCAGUUAACUUACGGAUUUAAGGUGUGUGAUGUCUUUGAUUUUUUCAUUUUCUUAUUUAGGGUUUCGAAUUGCAUAUGGAGUUGAAGACUAAUUCCACUGUGUUUGUAAUUGCAACCACCGGCCAACCUUUUAGGUAAUUUUGGAUUCUUUAUUUUGUUCUUAGGUUUAAUGAAGUAUUUAGGAAUCAGACUGAAGAUGUAGUGACUUUUAAUAUCAAAAUUAUGAUCAUCUGUCAUUGAUUUCCUCUAAUUUUAGUUAUAUGCUUUCAAAAGUUAGUUGUUCACGGGUGGUUGUUUAGAUCUUAUGAUCGGGUUUAACGUAGAUGGCAGUAUAUUAAUUAAAUUUGCUUUCUCAUUUUGUUAUACCCAACUGAUUGUUUCAAAGCAUGAACAAGUGUUGUGAUUAGGUACUACAAUCACAAUUUUGAGGACCAUUAUAACAGCUACAUGGCUGGUUGUGGUAAUCUUCUUAGCAACCUCUUCCCACAUUGUAGAAUUUGUAAUGUGUAAUGAUUGCAGCAACAAAUACAUGAAUUAGGGUCUUAGUUAACAUUUUUUUAACAACAAAGAUUAUACUAUAUUACUCCUCACCCCAAGAAUUGAAAUUGGGUCACUCCACAAGAGGAAAACCAUCUUGACCACUAGGCCACAUGCCUAAGUUACCUUAGUUAACAAUUGCAUUGCUAAUACGGUGCCUUUUAAAUGCAGUUUUGAUGCUAAUUUCACCCAUGUCUGUAGAGCUUUAGAAAGGGCAUUUACAAAAACCUUUAGGAGCUCUAAAGAUUCUAUACAUUGGAAUACUCUUGGGAUGACUGUUGACCCAUUUGGCCCGUUAAGAGAUAAUGCAAAGUUCCAUGAGAUAUAUUGUAAAAUUCUAAAUUUUUAUCUUUGAUUUCGUCAUUUUCAUACUGCUAACUUUUUUUAUUUUUGUCUGUAGUUAUUGCUCAUUCGAAAUAGAAUAACCAUAAUAAGUUUAUUAUAUUUGCUUCGAUUGCUUAGUACAGAUUCGAGGUCAAUUGGCAGUAUGUUGAAGUUUUAUUUAUAUUAAUUGUUUUAUUUCUUGGUUCAAUUUGGUUACCAACAACAGCUGGUUCUUGGAAUGACGUCUGAUGGCGGUCAUAUGCCUUUUAGAAACUCUCUUGAUGGAAAUUUAGAUGUGGAGCCUUUGUUAUGCACAUAUUAUUGGCCCAUAGCAUGGCAGCCAAACUAUAUCAUCAUUAUUUCCAAGCAAUUAACCAACUCAAAGUCAAUUUUUAAGUUUUAGUUGAACAUUUUAAAUUUGGUAAGUUGACUUAUUGGGUGGUAUGUGCAGCCUACACAAGGUGGCUCAAUUGGACUAACUGUUUACGCUUACAUGUAUCAACCGCUAACAGAUAGUGAAGUUGAUUGUUUGUAAAGGGGCCGAAGCAAAGGUUUUUAAAUGAGCUUAUCUAAUGCAGGUCUGUUGAAUAUGGACAAAGAUUAAAGUUGCAUCUUGAUUAUUCGAGAAUGCCUAUAAAUAAAAAAAGACACAUCACAUGGCAGAAGAGCCAACAGUGGUGGUGGUUUGGAGUGUGUUCAUGCAUAAUUUUUGCUACAAGAUCACCUCAUGGCCCUUGCCCUAUUGCUCUUACGGUUGCUAAAGGGCUGGCAUUGGAUAUUCCGAAAUAUUUAUCAACUUUAUUGAUGUUAAAGUAGAAGAACAGAGACAGAAAUCUUUGGAUUUGAUAAAUAACACGAAGAACAUGUCUUAAUCUUCAUACUUCAAAGGACGCUAUGAUAAACAAUGAUGGGAUGCUCUAUAUAUCCAACUGUUUCAACUUGCACUGCCAGCAGUAGCUAACUCCGCUUGCUGGUUGGAUAUAUAAUCCGCUAACUAUAUAUCAUCUAAUGGUUUUUGGUAGUGCAAUUGGUCUCGGUAGUUCGUCUAUUUCAGGUAAUCUAAAUAAUUGUCUAUGCCAUUUUCCUGUUGACCCGUUUGGCUUUUUUAUUCAUUCGCGGUUGCUUUGAAGUAUCCAAGAACUCCAACAAAUCCUUCUUUUGAUUACUCAUUGUUGAUUCUGAUAAUAUAAGCUACAUAACAAGGAUCAUGGGAAUAAUUGAUGUGGUUAUUCCAUUUUAUUUUAUUGCUACAAGUUAUAACACCACUUAUUAGAGUUAACUUUGAUGUAUUUCUUGCUAAAAAAUCAGGCUGGUCACAAUCAAACCUUAAUGCUUCUAAUGACUUGCCAAAUUCGUUGGUCACUUAUUGUUUUACGACAAAUGUAUAGGCUAUUCACGGCCGGCCCUGAGGGUGGGCGACCCGCACCCCCGACCGAGGCCCGUUUUUCUUGAGGGCUUUUAUACCCUUGGUACCCGGUUCGAUUCUUGGCAUUUUCUUAAUUUUUUAGUUUUUCGUAGUGUAUUUUGUAAGUACGAUUUAUUUCUAAAACAAGGGCCAACUGAUGUGUUGAUUCAUUGGUUUAGCAAUUACUUUUACAUUUACUGGUCUAAUUGUGGUUGAGUUUGGCUGCUACCAGUAUUCAAGGGCAAAAUGAAGUUUACUGAUGGAAUGUGUCGAUGCUUAACCUAAGGAGCUUCAGCAAAGUAAACAAAAGCGUAGUGAGGGUGGCAAAUGAAAAUGUUCAAGGGCUUAUGACCCAUUUGGCAUGUUCAGUAACAGUAUUCAUUUGAUCCAGAGCAUAUUCGAAAUGGCACAAGAAAAAGGGGUAGAACCGGUCAAAUGGGGUAAUAAAUAUCAUCCAAAGUGUAUUAAAAAAUUUUCAAAUGCAUAAAAGCCUUAACAACCAAUUCAUUAAAAAAAUUACAGAUUAUGGUUUAUAAUAAUAUAGAUUUGCAAUCACAAUUAGCACAUUAAUUAUUUGGAUAAUUAAAAAAGGAAUGAUAUGCAAAGUGAUGUGGGUUGGCCCCACCAACCCAUUUUGACCCAUUAUUCAAUCUACGACACCUACCCAUUUUUCGACCUCUACAUGGUUUAAUCAGUAAAGAUGUAAGUUACUUGGUGAAAGAUAUAUGUAUGCAGAUUUUCAAUUAGGUGUGGCUCCUGGUUUUGUUAGUUAAGGAAGGCGUAGUUGAUUGGCUUCACGGGGUAAAUAACUGGUCAACCGGAGUACAAUCAGAGGUGUUGACAAUAGUGAUGUUUGCGGCUAUGUGGAGAGCUUGGUUGGCCAAGAACAAAAAAAUUGUUUAAUGGCAGGGCGACUUCAUUACACCAGCCGGUAGACAAGGUCAAAGAGUUGCUUUUCUUAUGGAGAUGUGUAAUUUUGUUAGUUGAGUCGUGCUUUCUUCAUGUAACAUUAGUGUGGGGUUUUUUGUUUCCCCCUUUGUCGUAAUGGGUUCUUCUAUGCAUCUUCAUGUUUUAUUGGUUUUAAUAUAUUUACCUUGCCUUAAAAAAUAAAAUUUAUGGGCCAUGCCAUGUUAU